UACGUAGGGGGCAAGCGUUGUCCGGAUUUACUGGGCGUAAAGAGCGCGUAGGCGGAAGUUUAAGCGGGGCCUGAAAGCCCCCGGCUCAACCGGGGAAGGUGGCUGCGAACUGGGCUUCUUGAGGGCGACAGAGGAGAGUGGAAUUCCUGGUGUAGCGGUGAAAUGCGUAGAGAUCAGGAGGAACACCCAUGGCGAAGGCAGCUCUCUGGGUCGGACCUGACGCUGAGGCGCGAAAGCGUGGGGAGCGAACGGG
This 253-nucleotide ribosomal RNA is filed under the name uncultured bacterium. RNAcentral's name for it is "partial 16S ribosomal RNA". It matches the Rfam family "Bacterial small subunit ribosomal RNA", at positions 524 to 776 of the family's 1533-position model. The record is from RNAcentral.